RNAcentral lists this transfer RNA (74 nucleotides) under Candidatus Omnitrophota bacterium. RNAcentral's name for it is "Candidatus Omnitrophica bacterium tRNA-Arg". It matches the Rfam family "tRNA". From Rfam's summary of the family: Transfer RNA (tRNA) molecules are approximately 80 nucleotides in length. Their secondary structure includes four short double-helical elements and three loops (D, anti-codon, and T loops). The record is from RNAcentral. Lineage: Bacteria; Pseudomonadati; Candidatus Omnitrophota.
GCGCCUGUAGCUCAGGUGGAUAGAGCAACUGCCUUCUAAGCAGUAGGUCGCAGGUUCGAGUCCUGCCGAGCGCG